AUUGAACGCUGGCGGCAGGCCUAACACAUGCAAGUCGAACGGUAACAGGAAACAGCUUGCUGUUUCGCUGACGAGUGGCGGACGGGUGAGUAAUGUCUGGGAAACUGCCUGAUGGAGGGGGAUAACUACUGGAAACGGUAGCUAAUACCGCAUAACGUCGCAAGACCAAAGAGGGGGACCCUCGGGCCUCUUGCCAUCGGAUGUGCCCAGAUGGGAUUAGCUUGUUGGUGGGGUAACGGCUCACCAAGGCGACGAUCCCUAGCUGGUCUGAGAGGAUGACCAGCCACACUGGAACUGAGACACGGUCCAGACUCCUACGGGAGGCAGCAGUGGGGAUUAUUGCACAAUGGGCGCAAGCCUGAUGCAGCCAUGCCGCGUGUAUGAAGAAGGCCUUCGGGUUGUAAAGUACUUUCAGCGGGGAGGAAGGGAGUAAAGUUAAUACCUUUGCUCAUUGACGUUACCCGCAGAAGAAGCACCGGCUAACUCCGUG
This 490-nucleotide ribosomal RNA is filed under the name uncultured bacterium. RNAcentral describes it as "partial 16S ribosomal RNA". It matches the Rfam family "Bacterial small subunit ribosomal RNA", at positions 30 to 507 of the family's 1533-position model. The record is from RNAcentral.